Oreochromis aureus is the source of this 2450-nucleotide long non-coding RNA. The record is from Ensembl. NCBI's taxonomy places the organism in Eukaryota, Metazoa, Chordata, Actinopteri, Cichliformes, Cichlidae.
GGAGUCCACACAUGAUGACCAGCCAUUGAUGUUCACCUGAAGGGAAUUCCCAGAGCUGAGGCUGUGAGUGUCGUAGUUUGAUUUGAUUUAGUUUGUUUGUAUAUUAUUUAUUUGGCAUUAGUUUUGUAGUCUGAUGAUAGUUGGGUGUGUUAAAAUGAGUACAGUAUUUCACUCUAUAUAUUUUUUUUGUAGGUGGACUGUUUGGGGGGGAUUUCACACCUCAAACAUUUAGUAAACAAUUAGGGCAAAUACAAGUAAACGGCAAUAAAUUACAGGUAGUAAUAAAAUAUACUACUAACUCUUUUACGCUACGUCCACACCUACACGGGUAUUUUUGAAAACGCAGCUGUUUCUAUGCGUUUGGGCCUUUCGUCAACACGUAAACGGUGUUGCGAUUCACCGAAAACAGAGAUUAUUUAAAACUCCUUUUUUAAGUUUAUGUGUGGACGAGGAAUACAGAGUUCGUCACGCAACGUCAAAGUUUUUCCCCUGUAGCUGUGCACCCCUGAUCUUCCCAGCACAGUCACGGAAAUCUCUCAAUCUGUAUCUCCAUACCUGCAUAAUGUCAGUGGAAAGAAGAGGAGACAGCAGCAGGAGAAGAUAUUCUGCAGGAUCCUGCUGCUCAUCAUCCUCACCUCAUGUGUCUCUGGAUCAUUUGUAGUCAAUGUGACACAGACCUCCUAUCAGGCAGAGGAGAACCACAACAUCACACUGGAGUGGACGUUCACCACCAAACCUGACAGAUCCUCCAAAACUCUCAACAUCCUCUGUGAACUCUUCAUCAGUCAUAAAUCCUCAGUCCUGUAUCAUGUUCAUGAAGGUGUUGAGGUGUCAGAGUCUCAGGAUGCAAAGUUUUCAGGACGAGUCCAGAGUGACAAAGACGCCCUCAGAGAAGGACGAAUCAGACUUCAACUGUCCAGACUCAGGACUGAUGACUCGGGUCUGUACCUGUGUGAGGUCAACACUGAUUAUGGCUUCAGUGUUGGAAGAUGUCGACUUAACGUCACUGCUGUUAGAGAUUGUCCUCAACCUGAGACAUCAAACACAGAAAGUCAAGGAAGGAUCGGAGUUUACUGUGGACUGAUAGCAGCCUUGCUGCUUCUCUGCUGCUUUUCAUUCAUUUACUGCCUGCACAAAAAGGAAGAUUAGUUCUGCAGCAAAAUGUACAGCUCAGCAAAUGAAUCACCAAAAAUAAUUAGAUCAGCAGUGAAAAUGAUAAUACUGGAGUUUAGUUUAAUAACACAGUGCCACAAAAUAAUAGUGUAAUAAUUUAAUUUUACAGGCUUAGGUAUUCAUUGCCACUCGGGCGGUUAAUUUCUUCAUGCCUAAAUUCAACAACCUGCAUGUGUAUAACUCAGGAGCUAGGCAUACAAAGAAAUUCUUGCACACGUCAGUGUCUGCAUUGCGCCUGCUGUUGGAGUUUUACGCUCGCAAUAGAAUCUUGUUUACUCUAAUCAACAGACUUUUGACUGUCUGGAGGGCAGAGCCCAAAGAAACAACACUGUUCUUUUGUUUUUUAAACACUCUGGUAUUGACAAGAACCAUAUGAUUUUCCCAACAAAUAAAACAAUAUGAACAGUAGAAUUUACAUGUCAACACAAAAAUGUUCAGUUAUGCAUGAACUAGAGUAUAAUAAUCACUUUCAUCUUAAAAAAGAAUAUUUAAUAAAUGACUGACAUUUUCCUGCUUUUUAGCUACUCUUCACCAGCACCACUAAUUUCUGAAUGGGCCUUUGAAUGAUGGAUGUUUGGAUGAGGAGUUUGCCUCAUUUUCCUAACUUCCAUUCUCCAAUCUGCAUUGUCACCUUCCGUAUGAGCCUGUCUUCAUCGUCAUGUGCUUCAACAACUCUGGCAAGUUUCCAUUCAUUCAGGGAAAUCCUCCUCUUUGAAGAUCACAAUAUCACCCCCCUCCACGUUAUGUCCUGCCACAUGCCAUUGCUGUCUCAGAACGAUGUUUGCCACAUAUUCCUUCCUCUAUCUGUGCCAAGAUUGCAGAUAUUGGACCCUUCUCCACCAUUUUUAGCAUACAGAUCCUUCUUGACAAAUUUACCUGGAGGGGAAAAUGGAAAAGAGGAUUUCCUGGUGAUCAAGUGAUUGGUGUGAAUGGCUCCAAACUUUUGGAGUCACCGAUGUUAUUGACAAUGAGUGGGAGGUUAUUCCUAAUGGAGAGAGCUUCAUAAAGGAAAGUCUUUAAAGAGCACCUUCAAGAAUGACUGGGGCUAGAAAUGCUAAAAGGUCAUAGGAGGAAGCCACAACUGCAAGAAUCCCUCAGCGUGUCUCUGACACCUUGAAGCAGAAGCUACCAUUUUCACUGUUCCACAUUAUACCUAGCACUUUUUGGACUGGUAAAUCAUUAUGGUUAAGGUCAACAUUUUUGUUGUAACAGUGGAUCAUCGAUGUACUUCCACCUUCAUCUCCGUUGACACAGCAUGAUCGUGAGAAUGUACUUUC